AAGCCCUCUUUGGGCAGCGCCUUCUGCCGGGCGCCACCUUCCUGCCAUGUUGCGUGGGCACUUGACAGCUUCCACCGGUGGUGGCUGUACCCCUGUGCUGUGAGGUGAUGGCAUUUCUGCCCUAUUGCUUUCAUCGUCGCACACUGGCUACCAGGUAGGAUGAAGCAAAGAGGAUGUCGGAUUUACAAGAUGUAAAGAGCCUGGUUCCCUGAAUCACUACGUGGAGGAGAGCUGCCCAUCAAUCAGGAACACUUGCCUUGGACUGUCACAUAGGCAAGAUAAAAAACUUUUGUGGUUAUAAAUUAUGGAAAUUUUAGGCCUCUUCGUGCCCCUCAGCCUAAUAUAAAACACCUCAAAUCCUCACUUGGCACUCAAAUGUUAAAGGUUAGCUUCUCAGAAGACCUUCUCAUUGAUUACUCAACAUUAAAUACUCUCUAGUUCCUUCCAUCA
This is a long non-coding RNA of Myotis lucifugus (little brown bat), 450 nucleotides long. RefSeq lists it as uncharacterized. The record is from RefSeq and is a predicted model, not a curated record. The transcript is spliced from 2 exons. NCBI's taxonomy places the organism in Eukaryota, Metazoa, Chordata, Mammalia, Chiroptera, Vespertilionidae.